This 327-nucleotide ribosomal RNA is filed under the name Triticum aestivum (bread wheat). RNAcentral's name for it is "partial small subunit ribosomal RNA". The record is from RNAcentral. Lineage: Eukaryota; Viridiplantae; Streptophyta; Magnoliopsida; Poales; Poaceae.
AUGGUUGAUAUGCAAGAUGAAAAUCCAAAAUUAAAUGAGCUCUGGUUUGUCAAGUGUUAUGUGAACGGCAUGAGAGAGGGCAUUAAGUAUCAGAUAAGAGUACUGAGACCUCAAACUCUCACUGAUGCCUACGGCUUGGCAAGGGACAUUGAACCUUGUCACCCACCUGUGUCUGUUAAUCAGAAAAGGCAUUUGUGUCUUAUAACAGCUACUAUCAGAAGAACACAAGUGCCAGCUUAUCUAAACAGCUACACACUCCUGUGUUACCUCAAGCUCCAACUGGCACUAAAUCUGCAGACAAUGUCAACAAUACUGCUCAGAGGAUAA